UAUAGCCUGAGAUCCGAUGCGUAUCCCUCACGGGAGAAAUCAGUGAUCCUAUGCUGCCAAGAAAAGCAUCGACGCGAGGUUCAAGCCGCCCGUACCCCAAACCGACUCAGGUGGUCAGGUAGAGAAUACCAAGGAGAUCGAGAGAAUCGUGGUUAAGGAACUCGGCAAAAUGCCCCCGUAACUUCGGGAGAAGGGGGGCCGAAUCGGUGAAUGGACUUGCUCCAGGAAGCCGAGGAGGCCGCAGAGACCAGUGGGAAGCGACUGUUUACUAAAAACACAGGUCCGUGCGAAGACGCAAGUCGAUGUAUACGGACUGACGCCUGCCCGGUGCUGGAAGGUUAAGAGGAAGGGUUAGCUUCGGCAAAGCUCUGAAUUUAAGCCCCAGUAAACGGCGGUGGUAACUAUAACCAUCCUAAGGUAGCGAAAUUCCUUGUCGGGUAAGUUCCGACCUGCACGAAUGGCGUAACGACUUCCCAGCUGUCUCAACCGCGAACUCGGCGAAAUUGCACUACGAGUAAAGAUGCUCGUUACGCGCAGCAGGACGGAAAGACCCCGUGACCUUUACUACAGCUUGGUAUUGGUGUUCGGUGUGGCUUGUGUAGGAUAGGUGGGAGACUUUGAAGCUGGCACGCUAGUGUCGGUGGAGUCAUUGUUGAAAUACCACUCUGGUCACUCUGGAUGUCUAACUACGAACCGUAAUCCGGUUCUGGGACAGUGCCUGGUGGGUAGUUUAACUGGGGCGGUUGCCUCCCAAAAAGUAACGGAGGCGCCCAAAGGUUCCCUCAACCUGGUUGGCAAUCAGGUGUCGAGUGUAAGUGCACAAGGGAGCUUGACUGUGAGAGUGACGGCUCGAGCAGGGACGAAAGUCGGGACUAGUGAUCCGGCAGUGGCUUGUGGAAGCGCUGUCGCUCAGCGGAUAAAAGGUACCUCGGGGAUAACAGGCUGAUCUUGCCCAAGAGUCCAUAUCGACGGCAUGGUUUGGCACCUCGAUGUCGGCUCGUCGCAUCCUGGGGCUGGAGUAGGUCCCAAGGGUUGGGCUGUUCGCCCAUUAAAGCGGUACGCGAGCUGGGUUUAGAACGUCGUGAGACAGUUCGGUCCCUAUCCGCUGCGCGCGUAGGAAAUUUGAGAAGAUCUAUCCCUAGUACGAGAGGACCGGGAUGGACGAACCUCUGGUGUGUCAGUUGUUCCGCCAGGAGCACCGCUGAUUAGCUACGUUCGGAAUGGAUAACCGCUGAAAGCAUCUAAGCGGGAAGCCAGCUUCAAGAUGAGAUUUCCAUCCCUUCGGGGGAGAGGCUCCCAGCUAGACGACUGGGUUGAUAGGCCGGAUGUGGAAGUGGGGACUAAAGACCCAUGGAGCUGACCGGUACUAAUAAGCCGAUAACUUGAUC
This 1388-nucleotide ribosomal RNA is filed under the name metagenome. RNAcentral's name for it is "bacterial LSU rRNA". It matches the Rfam family "Bacterial large subunit ribosomal RNA", at positions 1550 to 2925 of the family's 2925-position model. The record is from RNAcentral.